UACGUAGGUGGCGAGCGUUGUCCGGAUUUACUGGGCGUAAAGGGAGCGUAGGCGGACUUUUAAGUGAGAUGUGAAAUACUCGGGCUCAACUUGAGUGUUGCAUUUCAAACUGGAAGUCUAGAGUGCAGGAGAGGAGAAUGGAAUUCCUAGUGUAGCGGUGAAAUGCGUAGAGAUUAGGAAGAACACCAGUGGCGAAGGCGAUUCUCUGGACUGUAACUGACGCUGAGGCUCGAAAGCGUGGGGAGCAAACAGG
Molecule: ribosomal RNA, 253 nt
Filed under: uncultured bacterium
Lineage: Bacteria
Description: partial 16S ribosomal RNA
Rfam family: Bacterial small subunit ribosomal RNA
Source: RNAcentral